GGGAGAGGAGCGCGGCGAAGCGAGAGAGGGUGUGGACGGGCACAACAGUAGCGGUAUCGGAGGAGGCAGGCACACCGGUAGCGGGUGGAGCAGCUAAGUCCGGGAGCGGACCUCGACGCAGACGAAACAGAAGUAGCUGAGGCUCCUCAUCAAGCUCGUCCAGUAGCGGUGUUGUGGCCCUAGCUGGCGAAGAAGUGCGAAGCCAGCAGCCUCGAGGGCAGCUUAAGUGCAUACAGACGACGAUGAUUCGACGGUUGCCCUGGGUCACGCGGGGGAUCCA
RNAcentral lists this ribosomal RNA (280 nucleotides) under Triticum aestivum (bread wheat). RNAcentral's name for it is "partial small subunit ribosomal RNA". Lineage: Eukaryota; Viridiplantae; Streptophyta; Magnoliopsida; Poales; Poaceae. The record is from RNAcentral.